This 193-nucleotide ribosomal RNA is filed under the name uncultured bacterium. RNAcentral describes it as "partial 16S ribosomal RNA". It matches the Rfam family "Bacterial small subunit ribosomal RNA", at positions 1308 to 1500 of the family's 1533-position model. The record is from RNAcentral.
CAACUCGACUACAUGAAGCUGGAAUCGCUAGUAAUCGCGGAUCAGAAUGCCGCGGUGAAUACGUUCCCGGGUCUUGUACACACCGCCCGUCACACCAUGGGAGUCGGAAAUGCCCGAAGUCUGUGACCCAACCUUAGGGAGGGAGCAGCCGAAGGCAGGUCGGAUGACUGGGGUGAAGUCGUAACAAGGUAUC